RNAcentral lists this long non-coding RNA (434 nucleotides) under Ananas comosus (pineapple). Its description in RNAcentral is "long non-coding RNA (ACOM_LNC001244)". Lineage: Eukaryota; Viridiplantae; Streptophyta; Magnoliopsida; Poales; Bromeliaceae. The record is from RNAcentral.
CCACGAGUACCCACGGAUACCCGCACAUAUAUUUUUUAAUUCUAAAAUAUAUUUUCUUAAUUAAUAUAUAUUUUUUAUUUACUCAUCUUAAAAAUUCUAAUCCUAAUUUCUUAUUGCGUGUCUUUUAUAUUAUGAAUUAUUUUUGCUUUAAGACUUUAAAUAUUUUUAUUAUAUGUUAUGGUAUUUUAAACAAUGAGUUAUAUUACGUUUUUAAAACUUAUAUAUUUGUGUUUUGUAUUUAAAAAAUAUAAGAACGAAAAAAAAAAAAUUUGCAGGUAACCCGCAUACCCAUCCGCCCAUCCGCGGGCGGGUAUGGGUAAAGAUAUUGACUAUUUAAAAAUUUGCAGGUAAAUUUUACCCAUGCCCAAGUAAUCCGCGGGUAUAAUAACCCGUCCGCGGGUUACCCAAUCUACCCGUUUGUCGGGUCUAAUUGU